UGAAGUUCAGACCCUAUCUUUAGGGCCUAUUU
This 32-nucleotide non-coding RNA is filed under the name Rattus norvegicus (Norway rat). Lineage: Eukaryota; Metazoa; Chordata; Mammalia; Rodentia; Muridae. The record is from RNAcentral.